Molecule: long non-coding RNA, 425 nt
Organism: Sinocyclocheilus rhinocerous
Lineage: Eukaryota; Metazoa; Chordata; Actinopteri; Cypriniformes; Cyprinidae
Exons: 3
Source: RefSeq, a predicted model, not a curated record
UUUUCUUUUUUAGGAGUUUCCUCAAUUUGCUGCUCACUGCAGAGCAAAUGGGUGGAGCUAGAUGUCCAGUGGGGAGGAGCUACACGGAUGUCCAGUGAGGAGGAGCUACAAAGCGCAGAGGGCACCAUUUGGAAAGAUGGCGGAUGGUGACGGUCACAGACAAUUCGACAAGCAUCAGACAAUACUGAAUAAAGGACACGGUCCCCUUCUCUCUGUUGAGAAAUGCACAAUCUGCUGCAGAAAAUAUCACUGUGCCUACUGCAAACUGGUGUAUAACCAUUUAAAUGAGCUACAAAAUCAUGUAGUAGAUCAUGUUCGAGUUGCAGUUCAUCAUAAAGGAAUGUGCGUGAAUUAUUAUUAUGUCAUCGUAAAGUGCAAUCAGGACUGCAGACAAGCAGCACAUUUUCACUGCUGCUACUGCACAU